RNAcentral lists this ribosomal RNA (366 nucleotides) under uncultured bacterium. Its description in RNAcentral is "partial 16S ribosomal RNA". It matches the Rfam family "Bacterial small subunit ribosomal RNA", at positions 338 to 701 of the family's 1533-position model. The record is from RNAcentral.
CCUACGGGAGGCAGCAGUGAGGAAUAUUGGUCAAUGGGCGCGAGCCUGAACCAGCCAAGUAGCGUGAAGGAUGACUGCCCUACGGGUUGUAAACUUCUUUUAUAAAGGAAUAAAGUGAGGCACGUGUGCCGUUUUGGAUGUACUUUAUGAAUAAGGAGCGGCUAACGCCGUGCCAGCAGCCGCGGUAAUACGGAGGAUCCGAGCGUUAUGCGGAUUUAUUGGGGUUACAGGGAGCGUAGAGGGGUUGUUAAGGCAGUUGUGAAAGUUUGCGGCUCAACCGUAAAAGUGCAAUUGAUACUUGCAGUCUUGCGUACAGUUGCGGUAGGCGGAAUUCGUGGUGUAGUCGUGAAAUGCUUCGAUCUCACG